CUCAUCUAUACAUAAUUCUGAAACUACUCAAGGUUUCUCACCAGACCAAAACCAUUAUAUUUCUCCUCUAAAAUGUCAGAUUCCGGUGAUCAAAGUUUUGUUCAUGUCGCUCUCCUUCCGAGCGCCGGCAUGGGUCACCUCACGCCCUUCCUUCGACUCGCUGCUUUACUCACAGCACACAAUGUUCGGGUCACCUUCAUCACUCCAAUUCCAACCGUCUCACUUGCAGAGUCGCAGAGUUUAUCUCAAUUGUCCACCACCUUCCCUCAGAUCACUCAAAAGCAUCUUCAUCUCCUUCCACUUGAUGAGCUGUCGGCCAAUUCAGAAGACCCCUUUUACUACCAUUUUGAGUUGAUUCGCCGCUCCUCUCACCUACUCCCUCCUCUUCUAUCUUCACUCUCUCCACCUCUCUCAGCUAUGAUCACAGAUAUGAGCUUCUCCUCCACUGUUAUUCCCAUAACCGAUUCUCUUGGACUUCCUAACUACAUUUUCUUCACAUCAUCUGCCAAAAUGUUGACACUUUAUGUGUCCUUCCACACCAUGCUCGGCCCACACCGAGAAAUCAAAGAUGGUCUCGAAGUUUCAGGUUUAGAGCCAAUACCAAAAGCAUGGAUUCCUCCACCACUUCUCAAGGACGGCAACAAUCUCCUGAAGAGCUUUUUCACAGAGAAUGGCAAGAAAAUGACGGAGUCGACUGGAAUUCUGAUCAACACAUUCGAGAGUAUAGAGCAUGAGACAGUGGCUGCACUAAAUGAGGGCAGGGUAUUAAAAGGGCUACCAUCGGCAAUUGCCUUUGGACCACUUCCACCAUGUAACUCUGAGACAGACCAUCAACUAGCAUGGCUAGAUGAUCAACCAACUGGAUCAGUGUUCUAUGUCAGCUUUGGGAGUAGGACUGCAAUGUCAAGGGAGCAAGUCAGAGAGUUGGGUGAGGGCUUGGUGAGGAGUGGGUGUAGGUUUCUGUGGGUCGUGAAGGAUAAAAAAGUUGACAUGGAAGAUGAUGAGAAACUGACUGAGGUGCUUGGACAGGGUUUACUGGAAAGAGUGAAGGAAAAGGGAUUGGCAGUGAAGAAGUGGCUGAACCAAGAGCAGGUAUUGAGGCAUCCUGCAAUCGCUGGCUUUUUAAGUCAUUGUGGCUGGAAUUCCUUGAGUGAGGCUCUGUGGAAUGGUGUGCCCGUAUUAGCAUGGCCGCAACAUGGGGACCAGAAAAUCAAUGCCGACUUGGUGGAGAGAAUUGGGCUGGGAGUGUGGGUUAAGAGUUGGGGUUGGAGUGAGGAGGAGAUGGUGGUGAAAGCAGAGGAUAUUGCAGCGAGGGUUAAGGAGAUUAUGGGAAAUGACUCAUUGAGAUUGCAAGCACUACACAUUAAGGAAGAGGCUAGAUUGGCAGUAGGAGAUACUGGUAGUUCUACAAAGAGACUCACUGCUCUCAUUGAGACAUGGAAAGAGUUUCGGGUUAGUUAAACCUUCCUUUUCUGAACCCAUCUUCAUUUACAGAUGGACUCCAGUACUAAGCCUUUCUUGGAGAUCGGUUGGGCCAAAUACAAUCCCAGCUGGGAAAACUCCUCCCUUUGGAAGAUUGUCGCGCUGGCUCAGAACAAUAAGUGCACACUGAAGCAGAAUUAUUGGGGUUGUUAAGUAGCCAAUUUCAGGUCCC
This is an RNA transcript of Rosa chinensis, 1654 nucleotides long. It is a transcript of the gene named UDP-glycosyltransferase 13, with no coding region annotated. The transcript has 2 exons. The record is from RefSeq and is a predicted model, not a curated record. Lineage: Eukaryota; Viridiplantae; Streptophyta; Magnoliopsida; Rosales; Rosaceae.